GGAGUGGUAACCGUAUGUUCCAUGUUAUUUUUUUUAUGGCUGUGAUUAAUCUUGUUUUCUGUCUAGGCUUAAGAACUCUCACUAGCAAUUUUGUUUAACCUUCCUAGGUAUCCAUUUUGUUUGACCUUUCAUAAAAAAGUAUUCUGAAGUGUACGAUGUCCCUACUUCCUCCAAGGCUAAAUCUUUCAGUAAAUAUCUGAUGGUCCUGAGCUCUUUCAGCUUCUGGGGAGUUGGGUCCUGAUUAUGUUGUGUCUCUGUCUUGUGGAGUUCCAGAAGCCUCUCCGCCUUAAUCUUUUUGUGAUGUGUGUCCAUUUUAAUCAAUGUGAGACAAAAGACUGUCUUAUGGGCCGUCCAAACUGUAGUUUCUGACAUAGUUAGGGUUUUAUUAGUUAGUAAGUAGUCUUUAAUCUUAUUUUAUAUUUGUUUUUGGAUCAUAGUGCC
This is a non-coding RNA of Pelobates cultripes (western spadefoot toad), 441 nucleotides long. NCBI's taxonomy places the organism in Eukaryota, Metazoa, Chordata, Amphibia, Anura, Pelobatidae. The record is from the annotation of a GenBank genome assembly.